AACCCGAAGAUCCUGACCUGAGCAGUCGCCCCUCCCCCAGGAGACUCUAAUGUGCAGGCCAGCUCCACCCGCACUGCUCUGGCGGGCCUGCUUUGGCCUCCUGAGCUGGAAGCAUCGCAGGACCUGGGCCGGUUCAGAAGGCAGCUCUCCUCUCCUGUCCUCUCUGCUGUGCAAACCAGUGAGGCAAGAGCGAGUGCAGCUUCUCCGCCGUGUUCCUCACCCCCAUCUGUCUGUAGGGGGGUUGAUGCAGCAGCAAAAAGGGAGCUGCCCGCACCCCAGUCUCCCCUGCCUGUCAAGCUGACGUCAGACUGGCCAGCUCAACCCUACUAAACUUCUGGAGCAGGAUUCCAAUGUGGGGAGGACUGCCACCCUUCCUGCUUCCAUACCACGGGACACCCUAGCGAAGUCCAGGCAGUGGGAAGCUGCUGAGAUUCCCAGGGGACACACGGCUAUUCUGUGCGUGGCUUCCCAGCAGCUACCAGCUGCCUCUGUGGCAGCUGGCUCACCUGCCCAGCUAUGAGAGUAUUCGAAAGAAGACCCAGCAGCAGCAGGUUCACCAGCUGAUUGCACGGCGCUUCGGGAUCUGGGCCUGCAAAGAGGCGAAUGUUCGGCAUUCCUAACCUUGGGCGCCUUGGACAACUGAGCUUUUGUUCAUAUUACUCUGAUACAUAAUGCCCAGUUAGAGCCCAGGAUGAGGAAGGGGUCACUGGUGGAGAGCCCCAGGCUUUGAGAGGAGGCCCCACCUCACCUCUUCGGGUGGAGGGAAGGAUGGCAGACCCCAGCCCAGGGGGUGUCUGCCCUGGGAUUCAGAACAGGCUCCUGCGGAAGGGAUUCUGUGCAGCCAACAGCUCCACGACUCAGCUUGUCUCCAGGAAGGAACAUCACUAGGGGAGAGGAGACACAGAAAGCUGAAGCCAAAAGAAAGGACGUGUGUACGGGCGGGUGGAAAGGCUGGUGUGUCAGGGAACGGCUAACGCCUUUACUCUCCUAUCCCUCAGCUGUCACCAAGUUGAGGAGGCGAGGCCCUCAGGUCACUGCCUGCACCACGACCGAACUGCGGCUCUGCUCAUCCACCCCAUGAAGCGACACCUGCUCUGCUCAGGGAAACACCACUGUGUAGGAGGAACACCCUCUUCCAUCCUGCCCCUUUCUGCUUUUCCAGAGGACUGGCAGGGACGGUGCUGAGCCUACAGAGACACCUCCAGCCAUCUCCCCCAGCUGGGCCUUGGUACGUGAGCCCCCACAAGAAGGAAGCCAAGGUGAACCUCAACAAACCCUGGGCCACCUCUGCCAAGGAUCUGCAGGAGGUGGAGAAUCUGGGGUCGUGUCCUGAGAAAAUAAGGUGACAAGUUAAAGGCAGACCUUCUUAGGUUGGGAGGCUUCUGUGCCCCGGUCCCUGAAGCUCCUGCCUGCAGGGCUGAGAGUCCUUGGAAGGAAGCCACUGGACCCUACAGGCCCUGCUGGGGCUGCAGCCCAAACUGCCCACCCCCAACAGCCAAGACAGCCCUCUGCCCCAGCUGAGACUUUCUUCCUGGCCUUGCCACUCGAAGCCAAGCGUCUAAGGUCUUGGGCUGGACUGACAGUGAAGGCCCCAGCCCAGUCCAGGCCCAGAUUGAGUUCCUAAAGCCAGAUCCUUUGCUGUUUAUGGUUUGUGAUAGAUCAAGAACCAGAAAAGGAUGUGAGGUGGGUGUGUCUUUCCCCAGGAGAUGGAAAGCAGCCCAUUUGUCACCCAUUCUGCCUCAUCACUGAAAGGACCUGGGUAUUCCAGGGUAGAUGGGGCUUUCUACGCUGGACCCACAGAGUCAGACAGGGGUUGACCAUGUGGCCACUCCUGGGGCUGCAGCCCCAGCUCCCUCCAAAUAUGGCUCCAGGAGAGGACAUGACCAUGUUGCUUCCUUUACGGCCCCUCCCCCACACCCCCACUCCCCCCAGGACCCGGCCUGGGAUGGGUUCCUGGGGGAGAAGGAGCAGUGACACCCUCAAGCACAAGCUCUCCUCCUCCUUCCCCUCGGGGAGAUGGCUCUAAAGCAAUCCCUUCUCAAACACACUCCCCUCUUCUCUUUUCCUCACUCUGGCAGGCCGCUUCUCUGCUUUGAGGGUGCUCCGUGGUGCACACUACAGAACGUGGGUAAGGGCCAAAAAAGCAGCAAGCAGCGCCAUCCAGGUUUAUCCCCACACAGCACAGACUCGUGACUCCAGCACACUUUAUUUCUGGCCCCAGGUCAGGUCUCCCAAGAGCCAGUCACUUCAGAGUCUUCUGCAAUCACCACCAAACAGACGUCCUCAGCAGACCUUGUCGUGCCAACCGUUGACUUCUGCUGCUGCCAUCCUCUCCUGUCACCUGGGCUCCAGUCUCUGUCCGGCGGCCUCGACCAGGAG
Molecule: long non-coding RNA, 2379 nt
Organism: Herpailurus yagouaroundi (jaguarundi)
Lineage: Eukaryota; Metazoa; Chordata; Mammalia; Carnivora; Felidae
Exons: 4
Source: RefSeq, a predicted model, not a curated record